UCCCUGAUAGCUCAGUUGGUAAAGAAUCUGCCUGCAAAGCAGGAGACCCUGGUUCAAUUUCAACCCAGGGAC
This 72-nucleotide transfer RNA is filed under the name Ovis aries (sheep). It matches the Rfam family "tRNA". Rfam says of the family: Transfer RNA (tRNA) molecules are approximately 80 nucleotides in length. Their secondary structure includes four short double-helical elements and three loops (D, anti-codon, and T loops). Further hydrogen bonds mediate the characteristic L-shaped molecular structure. tRNAs have two regions of fundamental functional importance: the anti-codon, which is responsible for specific mRNA codon recognition, and the 3' end, to which the tRNAs corresponding amino acid is attached (by aminoacyl-tRNA synthetases). tRNAs cope with the degeneracy of the genetic code in two manners: having more than one tRNA (with a specific anti-codon) for a particular amino acid; and 'wobble' base-pairing, i.e. permitting non-standard base-pairing at the 3rd anti-codon position. The record is from Rfam by way of RNAcentral. Lineage: Eukaryota; Metazoa; Chordata; Mammalia; Artiodactyla; Bovidae.